Molecule: ribosomal RNA, 225 nt
Filed under: uncultured bacterium
Lineage: Bacteria
Description: partial 16S ribosomal RNA
Rfam family: Bacterial small subunit ribosomal RNA
Source: RNAcentral
AUACGUAGGGAGCAAGCGUUGUCCGGAAUUACUGGGUGUAAAGGGAGUGCAGGCGGGACGGCAAGUCAGAUGUGAAAUAUAUGGGCUCAACCCAUAGACUGCAUUUGAAACUGCUGUUCUUGAGUGAAGCAGAGGCAAGCGGAAUUCCUGGUGUAGCGGUGAAAUGCGUAGAUAUAUGGAGGAACACCGGUGGCGAAGGCGGCUACCUGGACAGAGACUGACGCU